GGUUCCAAACCCUUGCUGGAGAGGUGAUGCAGUCAUUUGGAGGAAAGAGGGUUGCUGUGGUAUACUGGGGUUCCACUUCAAUGCCUAGUCACCUCAGAUUUUCCUGUACCUGCAGGUAUCACCAGUGAAGCCUGUGAAGCAGCAAAGAUGGCAGUCUGCCCUGUCUUCUAGGAGCUCUGUCACAGGGAGUUACGGACAUAUUGCUGGCUCAAAAGCACUGUAGGAGAUGGCUGGAGACCCUGGUUGGGAGGUCUUGCCCAGUCAGGAGGAAUGAGAUCAAGAACCUGCUUUAAAAAGUGCUUUGACCAUGUUUUCAUAGACAAGCUAUGCUGUGCCGGGGGACCACUUCAGCUCAUGGUCACCUCAGACACUCUGAAGCCUGAAGGCUGGAACAACUACAUUGUCCAAACAGCAAAUAUGACAGCAUCUACAGAAAUCAUUUUAUUUGAGUUAUGUAGCAAGAACCCAACUUA
RNAcentral lists this small RNA (473 nucleotides) under Pongo abelii (Sumatran orangutan). Its description in RNAcentral is "retained intron". Lineage: Eukaryota; Metazoa; Chordata; Mammalia; Primates; Hominidae. The record is from RNAcentral.